Long non-coding RNA from Eurytemora carolleeae, 109 nucleotides. RefSeq lists it as uncharacterized. The transcript is spliced from 2 exons. The record is from RefSeq and is a predicted model, not a curated record. Lineage: Eukaryota; Metazoa; Arthropoda; Copepoda; Calanoida; Temoridae.
UACAGGUAUACAGAUAGUGUACACUGUACAUGAAGCUGGCAGGAGAUAGCAGAGCUAUGUACAGGGAUGAGAAGAAGUUAGAGGCUGGACUAGAGAAAGCACUCGCAAG